Callithrix jacchus (white-tufted-ear marmoset) is the source of this 1027-nucleotide long non-coding RNA. RefSeq lists it as uncharacterized. The record is from RefSeq and is a predicted model, not a curated record. NCBI's taxonomy places the organism in Eukaryota, Metazoa, Chordata, Mammalia, Primates, Cebidae.
AUUCCUUUGGGGGUAGGUGAUGUAGGGCACAGGAGUGGGGCUGGGGCUGGGGAGUGGCAGGGGUGCAGGCAGGAAACAGUCUCCUGAGGCCCGGCAUAGGAAAGCGAUGGAGGUGUAAGGAGGUUGGGGAUAGGACGCUGGUGAAUUGUGGUUCCCAGAGGGAGGAACAGGCACAUUUACAGGUGUACAGAACAAGAGGCCCUGACAGGGGGGGUGGGUGGGUGCAUUUGUGGCCUUGGGCCCAAGCAGGCUUCUCUGGGUGAGGGCUGGCAGUGCCUCCCCUUUUUUCCAGCUCACCCCUUUCACGCACAUAACCCAUUUUGUUACCCUGACAAAGGGAUAAGCCCUAGAGAGGAAGAAAUAAGCCCUAGAGGAGGAAACAGUGAGCCUGGAUGGGUUUUUUGGGGGAAGGCUGGCAGGGGCAUGGAGCCAGGAAACAGCCUUUGCCUCCAUAGCACUGGGUACCCCAAGAAAAGUGAGAAGAGAGAUUGCAGCCCAGGUCCCUGCAGAGGAGGAUGGGCUCCUUUCCCAGGAAGGACCAGAUGAGUGGACUGUCUCCAGGGCACAGGACAACCUUGAGGACCUGAGGCCUCCAUCCCUUUGAGGAUGGACCAUGUGAAUUUCCUGACAGAGAACCCGGAUGGGUUUCUGAAAACAUCUCCCAGAGCCUGCAGAGACCUUACAACUAUUUCCAGGCUAGGCUGCAUGGAGGACAUGAGAGGAGCAGCCAGCUGUGGGUGCCACACCACUGAUCAGGGUGCCCAGGAGCAGGAGCUUUCUGAGGAUUCGCAGAGGGGACUCUGGGAGAGGAACAUGGUGGCCACAGCUGGAGUGACUGUGGUGCACAGAGAUGGGAUGGGAGCAGGAAACCCAGAAGAGCGGGCUCCAGAACCAGGUAGGACACCCGCUCCACUUACCUUCUGCCAUGAGUAAAAGCUCCCGAGGUCUCCCACGAAGCAGAUGCCCUGUGCUUCCUGUACAGCCUGCGGAACUGUGAGCCAAUUAAACCCCUUUUCUUUAAAAAUCA